Molecule: transfer RNA, 84 nt
Filed under: Acyrthosiphon pisum (pea aphid)
Lineage: Eukaryota; Metazoa; Arthropoda; Insecta; Hemiptera; Aphididae
Rfam family: tRNA
About the family: Transfer RNA (tRNA) molecules are approximately 80 nucleotides in length.
Source: Rfam by way of RNAcentral
GUUAGGUUGGCCGAGCGGUCUAAGGCACCAGAUUUAAGCUCUAUCUCCCCUUGGGAAACAUGGGUUUGAAUCCCACAUCUGACA